This 30-nucleotide non-coding RNA is filed under the name Mus musculus (house mouse). The record is from RNAcentral. Lineage: Eukaryota; Metazoa; Chordata; Mammalia; Rodentia; Muridae.
UGGCCUUUUCAGAAAAUGACAAUUCACGGC